RNAcentral lists this ribosomal RNA (252 nucleotides) under uncultured bacterium. RNAcentral describes it as "partial 16S ribosomal RNA". It matches the Rfam family "Bacterial small subunit ribosomal RNA", at positions 524 to 776 of the family's 1533-position model. The record is from RNAcentral.
UACGGAGGAUGCAAGCGUUAUCCGGAAUGAUUGGGCGUAAAGCGUCCGCAGGUGGCUAUGUAAGUCUGCUGUUAAAGAGUGAGGCUCAACCUCAUAAGAGCAGUGGAAACUACAUGGCUAGAGUGCGUUCGGGCAGAGGGAAUUCCUGGUGUAGCGGUGAAAUGCGCAGAUAUCGGGAGGAACACCAGUGGCGAAGGCGGUGCUCUGGGCUGGAACUGACGCUGAUGGACGAAAGCGUGGGUAGCAAACAGG